Molecule: unclassified non-coding RNA, 345 nt
Filed under: soil metagenome
Description: partial contains 5.8S ribosomal RNA, internal transcribed spacer 2, and large subunit ribosomal RNA
Rfam family: 5.8S ribosomal RNA (bases 1-120)
Source: RNAcentral
GAUGAAGAACGUAGCAAAAUGCGAUACGUAAUGUUAAUUGCAGAAUUCAGUGAAUCAUCGAGUCUUUGAACGCACAUUGCGCCCCCUGGUAUUCCGGGGGGCAUGCCUGUCCGAGCGUCAUUGCUGCCCUCAAGCACGGCUUGUGUGUUGGGCCUCCGUCCUCCUCCCGGGGGACGGGCCCGAAAGGCAGCGGCGGCACCGCGUCCGGUCCUCGAGCGUAUGGGGCUUCGUCACCCGCUCUUGUAGGCCCGGCCGGCGCUUGCCGACACAUCAAUCUUUUUUCCAGGUUGACCUCGGAUCAGGUAGGGAUACCCGCUGAACUUAAGCAUAUCAAUAAGCGGAGGA